CCUACGGGAGGCAGCAGUGGGGGAUAUUGGACAAUGGGGGAAACCCUGAUCCAGCGACGCCGCGUGAGUGAAGAAGUAUUUCGGUAUGUAAAGCUCUAUCAGCAGGGAAGAAAGAAAUGACGGUACCUGACUAAGACGCCCCGGCUAACUACGUGCCAGCAGCCGCGGUAAUACGUAGGGGGCAAGCGUUAUCCGGAAUUACUGGGUGUAAAGGGAGCGUAGACGGUAAUGCAAGUCUGGAGUGAAAGGCGGGGGCCCAACCCCCGGACUGCUCUGGAAACUGUGUAACUGGAGUGCAGGAGAGGCAGGCGGAAUUCCUAGUGUAGCGGUGAAAUGCGUAGAUAUUAGGAGGAACACCAGUGGCGAAGGCGGCCUGCUGGACUGUAACUGACGUUGAGGCUCGAAAGCGUGGGGAGCAAACAGGAUUAGAUACCCGUGUAGUC
This 443-nucleotide ribosomal RNA is filed under the name uncultured bacterium. Its description in RNAcentral is "partial 16S ribosomal RNA". It matches the Rfam family "Bacterial small subunit ribosomal RNA", at positions 338 to 795 of the family's 1533-position model. The record is from RNAcentral.